RNAcentral lists this transfer-messenger RNA (395 nucleotides) under Flavobacteriales bacterium. It matches the Rfam family "transfer-messenger RNA". From Rfam's summary of the family: Bacterial tmRNA, also known as 10Sa RNA or SsrA, is named for its dual tRNA and mRNA-like properties. Its role is to liberate the mRNA from a stalled ribosome. The record is from RNAcentral. Lineage: Bacteria; Pseudomonadati; Bacteroidota; Flavobacteriia; Flavobacteriales.
GGGGUCGACUGGUUUUGACAGCAGGUCUAAUUUAUUAUUUGCAAGUCGAGUGUUGAAAAAAUCUCGUAAAUCUAUUUUUCAAACUUUAAAUGGCGAAAAUAACUACGCUCUAGCUGCAUAAUUGACUGAAUUAUAGUAGGUCCUUUGCAUAUUUCAACAAGGUUGAAAAGCUAGAUAUCUCAUAAAAACUUUGAUUAGCAGUUUUUAUAUUUGAGAUACCAUGAGUUAAUCUAGAGUUUUACAAUCACUGGGUAAAACUUGAAUCUAAAAGUGAUAAGGUUUAUAUUAUGGUUGCUAUCUACCUAAUAUUUUCUCGAAAAACUAAAGAUAGAUAAACUUGUAGAAGGUAAUUUAAUUACUUGUUUGGACGCGGGUUCGAGUCCCGCCGACUCCAC